CAGGGAGGCCACGAUGGGGGCCUCAGAGGGACGGUUUGCUCUCGCCAGGCCUCGCGCGCCGCCCACGUCAGCAAGGAAUGGGCACAGGGUCUCUGUUUUACAUCCUCAUGAGCCGGUAGCAUCCUGGUUGUUUGCCAGGAGAGCACAGGCAUUGGCGGGAUACAGAUUGGGCAGAGAGCAGGCCUCCCUCGCAGAGGCUAAGCAACAUAAAAAGGAAAGAAAAGACCUGCAACUGGGGGGACCUUGUUGGAGAAAAUAGAGUUUCACGUGGGCCUCUGUGGAGGGAUAGAUGUCUAGGCUGUGAACAGAAGGGGGGGGGAUGGGAGACGUUGGCCUACCACGAACAAAGAUCCAACAGUGGGAAACGUGGCACAUGGCUGGGUAAAGAGAACAGGCCACCUUGCCGGGUCUGGGAGGGCCAGUGGGGGAGAGAGGCAGGAAAAAUUGGGUAGGAUUUCUCAGGGCAGGCAGUUUUGAGGCUCUUUUGGUAGGAAAUGGAAGAGAUACUGAAUUUUUUGUCCUGCAAGUGAGGAUUUGAGCCUAGUUUUAGGACAGGUUUGAGGCAGUGCGGAGGAUGGUCCUGUUGAAGAGAACAAAGGAGGCUGUGUCUGGUCAUGACCUUUAAGGGAGCGAGAACCACGCACAGGGAAGGAAGCAGGAGGGCUGGAGGGAGGGACUCAAGAGGGAUCCCAGAGGACCCUCCAGCGACUUCUGUGCGACGCACAAAGGGUGGCGGAGUCAAGUCUGGCGCCUGGAUGAUGGGACACCUGUAGGAUAGAGAAGCUGGCAUGGUGGUGGAGCCAGUCUGGUUUUAGACAUGGCAGAGGGGAAGGAAGGAGGUACAGUCUGGGUGGAGAUUUUCUUCAGCUUAUUAUUUAGGAGGAAGAGACCGAAGUUUAGAAGGAAGGUAAAGACCCCGAAUUCAAAGGGAUAGUUAUUCUUCUUAGGAUAUGAAAUCACUAGAUCAGAUAAAACCUUCAAGGGGAGAAAUAUGUUUGGUGAUAGAAGCUCAAACACCUGGAGCACUGGAGAAGAAAAGGGGGGACAUUACAGGAGAGAGCAGCGGGCCUAGGACGGGAUGGGUGGGAGUACGCCGGAGUGAAGAAUUUAAGAAUUGGUCAACAGAUCACAUCUCGAUGGUGGUUUCUUAGCCUCUGCACUGGUGACAUCGGGGGCCAGUUACUGGCUACCAGAAUCUGAAAACCCCAAAUCACUUGGAUGAGUGGGGAUCAGAGCUGAAACUCCACCACAGAUCAGCAGUGGGACCUGAGAGGUUGCAGCAACGUGGCCGAUGUUUGAAAGGCAGCUGGGUAGCCUGACCACAGGGACCCGAGGAACGGACGCAGCCAAGAAACACGCUUCUCCGGGAGGCUUCACCCUGUGCCCUUGGCCUCGGCAGAGCCGUGUUGCAAGCAGCGGCCACUCAGGGGACGUGGGUUCAAUCCCUGGUCCGGGAGGAUCCUCCAUGCCGCCGGGCAACUAAGCCUGCGCGCCACAAAUAGAGAAGCCUGCGCACUGCAACUAGAGAGCCCUGCGUGCCUCAGUGAAGACCCAGGGCGGCCAAAAGGAAAAAACGAAGCCUCCCUGCUACCGCGGAGGAGAUCGUCGGAGGCAGGAAGGAGCAGCGGGGGACCAGUCAGUCCAGAUGAGGCCUGGCCGGAGCCACCAGUUGGCGGGGAGAGUGUCUGAGAUGAUCUGGGGGGCUCACAGCACGGCUGGUGGGCGCAUGAGAGGGGUCAGAGGUGACUUGGGGUGGCUGGGGUCUGCUUCCCAAGGCUAGUCUCAGGGCGGCUUUCCCUCUGGGUCCUUGUUAUUGACAGUGUAGAAGAGGGUCCCUGGUACAUCUGGGCCCUUCCUCAGCCCUUGGGCUCAGCCUGUCCUCGGAGCUGGUUCCUUCUGGCCUGGAGCCCACGUGGUGGGGAGGUUGUCCUCGUUGGGGAGAUGGCCGAGACUGGCGGAACCAGUGUGCACGGUGACCCAGCCUCCGGCAACGCCUCCCUCCCACCGGUCCCCUUCUGAAGGGGCCACCCAUCUUCAUCCUCUUGCCAGGGUGUUACAGGGGUUUUCUGGGGUUUUUGGACCAGUGAGGAAAGCGAUGCUGGAGAGAGGGUCAGUGCUGGGAGCCACUUCUCCAGUCCCCUGACGGGAACAGCAGGCUGGGUGGGCUGCGUGGGUGCCUGGUGCUGCGGGUCCACUGUGAAGGGGUCUCUGGGACACCCCCAGGCUCCCACUGGAGCCCCACCCGGCGUCCUGCUCUCUCUGGGUGAUUGACCUUCCCGGGGGCCCGAGCCUUGGCACAAAGUGCCCCAGGCCCCCGCCAGCAGAUGGCACAGCUGCAGUAACCCAGCUGGCCGUGCGCCUUUCUCAGGAGACACCGGGGGUGGGGCUCCUGCGGCCCCCGCACCCUGGACACCUCCUGGACCUGCUCUUGAACCUGGCUGUGUGGUCACAGCCUUUCUGCUCUCGAGCGUCCUUGGAGCCGUCAGCAGCGGUGUCCCCCCUCUGAAGCCCCGAAACGACUCUGUGUGGUACCCCUGAACCUCCAUAAUGCCACCUCCUUGAUUUGAAACCUCAAUGCUUCAGCCCCUCCUUGAUGGGCGUCUAACCUCGCCCUCUGAAGGAAAGGUUUGCUAAGAAAACAGAAUUUUAUGCACAGUCUCGGGAGGUAAGGCGUGGUCUUCACCCUCCACCAGAACCUGCCUGUUCUUAAGGGUUUCCGUGUUGCAUGAUCUGCAGGUUAGAGUUGGGUCACGUCUAGCUUUGAAUAAAGGCCCAGCAAGUUGCCUCUUAGAAAUACCUUGUCACAGCUGAACUCAGGUUCACCAUGGGGCUUCUUUAAGAUGGUCUGAUUAAUUCAUGGUGGCCACCCUGCGGCCCAUAGCCGCCUGAGACAAGAGGAUUUACUGUACCAGUUUACUGCCAGGCCGUAUCAGCUGAUAAGCAGGAGACUAUAGACCGUCUGUUUAAGAAUAAAAAUAAAAUAAAAGUUAACAGCGGCGCAGCCCUAGAGCAAACACUUUGCACUGCUGCAUAUAGUGAACGAGCCUGUUGGACGUAGUGACCUUGGCUGAGGUAGCCAUGGGCUUGUCCCUCCGUCCCUGCGCGUCCGGGGCGCCGGGCUGCUCAGAUCUGUGGCCUUCCGGCCCCCAAGCAGCACCCUGGAGGGCAGAGCUCCCCGCCCCACAGAGCCCCGGGCAUCACUCCCGUCCUGGCCGCAGCCAGGCUCCCCCCUCCAGCUCUGGCCACAUUUGCGGGUCUCUAACUCUCUUUAGGCCACAGCGACUGUCCCCAGGCAGGAUGUCCAGCCCCAUCAGCCGAGAGCCCCCACGUUCAGUCGCGUGGACCCAUCGUGGAGGCCGGCCUGUGGGGUGGGCGGGACACGGGAGCGUGGGCCGAGGAGGGCUUCCUGGGGCCGCGAAGGACGGGCCUUUUGCUUGGCUUCGUGGUGAGCUGCCAGCCCCGUUUUGGUUUGCAGCUUUUGCUCGGUACUGCGCGGGGUCUCCUUCGCCUUGGCACUGGCUGGGCGGGGGAGGCGUCAUCACGGCUCUCCUCGGGUCCACAUGCAGGACGACAUCGUUGGCGCGGCCCACCACUCAAAUCAAGGCGGCAACAGAACCUUCCGAGAAGAGCCUUCAGAAGUGAAAUGUCGAGGCUGCCGUCAUGCGUGAGACGGUGGCAGAGCCGCGAUCCACUUCUCUUCCUUUCCAGGGUGCCCUGAGGCUGCUGCCGAGCCCACGUUCAAAGGCUGUUUCUUCAAAGUAAACGGUGCUGCCUUCGAACUGGGAGGGGAAGUGGGCGGUUGGGAGGCAGGUUUCCACGUGCGUGUUGAACGGCUGGGGCGUGGUCUUUGGUUCAUGAUCGUGUGAGAACUUGGGGUGCGGACAGGGAGGUCCAAGUCCGUCUGGGCCCCGGUGUUGGCAGGGCCGGGAGGCGGCAUCAGGCACAGCCCUGUGGGAAGUGACCGUGAAGGACCCUUCCGGAGGGCCCCCCCCAAUCCUGUUGUGCGUGGUUCAGAGGGUUGGGCGGAGGCUUUCCUGAAGGCUCUGAGGAGUGCUGCACCCACAGGCUGUGUGCUCAGGCGGCGGGACGUGGGCACUCGGACGAGGGAAAGGCCGGCCCGGCCACGUCGUCUGCCUGCUCCCCCCGGGGAGGCCCCAACGCGGUCAGCUGCCCCGUGGUGGCCAGUGGGCAUCGAGAUGCAAGCCCGCCUGUUUUCCCGCUGCUCCAGGCCUCUGGUGUCUCCCCACCGCCUGGAACGCAAAAGCCAUGCCAACCUUGGUCUUGAGCCUCUGCAGCUCCCCAGAGGCCCCCGAUGCUCUUCAGCCUGCACCCGGCCUGUUCCUCCCCUCCUGGGGGUCUUCCUCGCUCUCACCCUGGCUGCCCACCUGGCCUGGCCAGUCCUUCCCACCCUUGGGAAGCCCCCUGACCGUCCAGCCCUCACUGGGCGUCACAGCCCCUCUUGUCUUGGUUCCUUUGCUGGAUGCUUGUUUGUUGCCCACGCCUUCUACUUCUUCUAGACUGAACCCCAAGGUGACGGCCAGAUCCGCCACGCGGACUGUUACGCUCUCCAGCUUCUGUCUCCACGCGUGGCACAAAGUAGGUGCCUAAUAAAUUU
Delphinapterus leucas (beluga whale) is the source of this 4615-nucleotide non-coding RNA. NCBI's taxonomy places the organism in Eukaryota, Metazoa, Chordata, Mammalia, Artiodactyla, Monodontidae. The record is from RefSeq and is a predicted model, not a curated record.